GGCGCCUGCGCUCUGCUCGCGCAGGAAGUCUGGACGCAACAGCGGCGAGGAGUUUAUUAAUGAGUUUUCCACGUUCGCAUGUUAACAGUGAGGUUAUUUAAUGCUCCCAAAGUAUGGUAUCUGGUGGUGAUCAAAGGUCGGAGACCCCUGGAUGGUUACCUUACUCAAACACAUUACAUGUGAAGGCUGGUAAGGAGGGAACAUAUAAAUUUAAUGCAGUUCCCCUAGUUCUGCCUUGUCGACUUAUAAAGUUGAGUUCGUAAAUGUUCUUGAACUAACCUUAUCAACGGAGGGUGAAAUUUUCAAAUAUUUACUGUUUAUUCGGUCAAACUCUAAAUGCCAAAAAAGCUCCAAGCCCGCUAUGAAGUAAAUACUCGCCGCCUGGAGUCCAGUCUUACAGAGAAGAUACAGUAAUGGCAAGGAAAAAAAAGGGGAUACAGGUGCCAAUAGAAAAACUGCAAGGAAUUUAAACAGCCUCCAUUCAUACACAGAAAUGUGCAAAUGUAAGCUGUUUGAGAGAUGGGACAUCUUUGUCUUGUUCAUGACUGUAUAUCUACAACGUAGAAACAUCUGGAACAUGGGUAUCCGCACUGUAGGAAGUUGAACAGCAGGAAAAAAAAACAAAAAACCAAUGGAUAAUGGCUCUAUUCAGUAGAUGCCAGAACAGCCCUCCCGGUAUAACAAUCCCAAACGUCUUCAGACAUUACCAGUAUCCAGAGGAGCAAAAUCAUCGCCCCCUUGAGAUUCCUUCACUGCUUCACUGUAAAAUUCUCUCAACUUUUCUGUAUGCUUGAAGUUGUUCAGAAAAGUUGGGAGAAAAAAUAUUUAAUGACAUUGAAGAAUGCUCAUAAACACCACGUAGAAGGUGCGACUAUGAAGAGCUAUGUACUAAUAUUUUGUAAAAGAAAAAACUGGAAGUCAGCAAUAAUACCUGAAACCAAUGAGUAUCAGUGCCUACACAAAAACUUACAAGAUUUCUAAAAUGAAUAUGUAACAAAGACAAAAAAAACAAAUUGUGUAUAAAUUGUGAAGAAAAACAUUUCUAAUUGCUCUCAGGUUUGAGUCACCUUCAACCUGACCUUUUACUACAGUGAUAAAUUUCGGUGCAUGCACAUGGCCCUUCCUAAGUCACCACAGCCACCAUCCACGAUCACCUCCCCCUGCUGCCUUACUACUCUUGUCAGUCAGGAACCAGCAGUAUCCGUGUUGCGUGGUGACAUACCAGGAACGCAGAAUAUGGGACCCCCAGCCCCUACUACCGAAUUCGGAGCUGCAUUAAAUCAACAUCCCCGAAUGAUUCCUACACAUGUUCGAAUUUACCAAUGUGUUACUUUCAUGGACCAUUCCUUGACAGUGCAGGCUAUACUUCUGACAGUGGCAGCAACUGGGACAUGCCAUUGGGGAUAGAAUAAAAACUCUGUGACUGAGAACGUAGUAGAGCCAAGAAGUCUCAAUGGUCCGCCUCAUUCCGGGACUCACCCGUCCGCUGGGAAGCAGCUUCCGCGGACAGCGGCCCGCAUGCGCCACGCUGGGGCUGGU
Molecule: non-coding RNA, 1539 nt
Organism: Manis javanica (Malayan pangolin)
Lineage: Eukaryota; Metazoa; Chordata; Mammalia; Pholidota; Manidae
Source: RefSeq, a predicted model, not a curated record